This 430-nucleotide ribosomal RNA is filed under the name bacterium. Its description in RNAcentral is "partial 16S ribosomal RNA". It matches the Rfam family "Bacterial small subunit ribosomal RNA", at positions 355 to 776 of the family's 1533-position model. The record is from RNAcentral.
UGGGGAAUAUUGGACAAUGGGGGGAACCCUGAUCCAGCCAUGCCGCGUGUGUGAAGAAGGCUUUAUGGUUGUAAAGCACUUUAAGCGAGGAGGAGGCUCUCUUGGUUAAUACCCAAGAUGAGUGGACGUUACUCGCAGAAUAAGCACCGGCUAACUCUGUGCCAGCAGCCGCGGUAAUACAGAGGGUGCGAGCGUUAAUCGGAUUUACUGGGCGUAAAGCGUGCGUAGGCGGCUUUUUAAGUCGGAUGUGAAAUCCCCGAGCUUAACUUGGGAAUUGCAUUCGAUACUGGGAAGCUAGAGUAUGGGAGAGGAUGGUAGAAUUCCAGGUGUAGCGGUGAAAUGCGUAGAGAUCUGGAGGAAUACCGAUGGCGAAGGCAGCCAUCUGGCCUAAUACUGACGCUGAGGUACGAAAGCAUGGGGAGCAAACAGG